AUGAUCAUUACGGCAAGGAAAUCUCAGCUGAAAGCGAGCCGGCGUCACACUGCCACUGAACUCUACCUAGUACUCCUACAAGCACAAUGCCCGAGCCCUCAAAACGACACGGCCGGUCACGCGGGCGAGCCGUUAAACGAGCAAGGGGAGGGAGCGGUGGUGGGGUACGCCGCCAUGGACUCGCGCUUCUCCUCCGGCUCCGGGGACGUGAGGUCGGGGAGCUCGCUGACGGUGGGGGAGCGGCUCUGCGCCGCCUUCUUGCCCUUCGUUGCCGUCGCCGAGGCCGUCUUUUUCGUCCUCGCCGACUGCCUCGCCGACAUCUGCCCUUCCUCGUCCUCCUCCUCGCGCCUGCGCAGAGAAUCCUCUGCUUCGUCCUUCCUCACGGCCAAGAAGAAGAGCCAUCACCUGUUCCGCCGCCGCGUCGGGCCAGGCUGCACCUCCCUCGACUUCCGCAACCUUGCCCGCCUCGCCGAGGAGUCCCGUUGCUUCUCGGUGAACGAGGUGGAGGCGCUGUUCGAGCUCUACAAGAAGAUCAGCUGCUCCAUCAUCGACGACGGGCUCAUCCACAAGGAAGAACUGCAGCUAGCAUUAUUCAAGACUCCUAGCGGGCAGAAUCUUUUUAUUGACAGGGUUUUUGAUUUGUUUGAUGAAAAGAAGAAUGGAGUAAUAGAGUUUGAUGAGUUUAUUCAUGCUCUCAGUGUCUUCCAUCCAUGUUCACCUGUGGAGGAUAAGAUUAAUUUUGCAUUUAAGCUGUAUGAUUUGAGGCAAACCGGAUUUAUUGAGCGUGAAGAGGUUAUGCAAAUGGUUAUUGCCAUUUUGAAUGAAUCUGAUAUGAAAUUGUCUGACGAGCUUCUUGAGGCCAUCAUAGAUAAGUUUCAGUUUCAGAAAAAUUUCAGUAGAUGUAAGUGUUACUUGACGUUUCAGACGUUUGAAGACGCUGAUACUGAUAGGGAUGGGAAAAUCAGCCAAGAAGAAUGGAAGGAAUUUGUAUUGCGCCACCCUAAUCUGUUAAAGAACAUGACCCUACCCUAUCUUAGGGACAUCACAACAUCUUUUCCUAGUUUUGUCUUCAACACGGCAGUUGAAGACUAA
RNAcentral lists this ribosomal RNA (1092 nucleotides) under Triticum aestivum (bread wheat). Its description in RNAcentral is "partial small subunit ribosomal RNA". The record is from RNAcentral. Lineage: Eukaryota; Viridiplantae; Streptophyta; Magnoliopsida; Poales; Poaceae.